AUGUCAUGUGGGCAGUCUAAAUGCAGUGAUAGUGGACCUUUUCUAUUGGCAUGUACAACAUUGCUUGCCACAGGCAAUAUACAAAAGACCAAUUUGGUUAAAUUAAGAAAAAAAAAGUAUAUACAAAGAAGCACAUCUCUUCAUGCACAUAUAGUGAAAAAUAAUGUUUUGUAACUUCUUAAAUGUAUGAAAGUAUACAAAGAAAUUAUUCCAAACUACUCGUAUUUAAACAUAUAUGUAAAAGUAUUUAUCUGAGUAAUUGUACUGUGUAACUGCUUAUUCUUCCAUCAGUGACCAGAAGGUGGUAUCUACUUCUUAAAACACCAAAGAAGUAUUUGCCAAACAACAGCAAAAAAAAAAUCACUUGGGUAACUUGUUCAGUUUGGUUGAAUGUGGGAACUGUUACUCACGGCUUUCGCACAAAUGAAUAAUCUCACUGGUCAAGAGCUGGAGCAUCUCUCUGCCAUGGCUGCCUGUACUGUUUUUAGCUAUUCUUGCACAGGUCCAACCUUCUUCUGCGUGCUUCAAAGCAAAAGUCUUUUUUCCAUAAUGGAUUCUUAAUACUGUCUCAACAUUUCCAUUGCCACACAAACCCUGUGUGGAAAGAUGAGUAAUAUUUAUUGCCAAUUUGCAUCUGUUUUGCUGAUUGCUUUGCUUUAGUCAAGGCACAUCAGGUGCUUUAAGGAAUAAUUGCUAGAGUUCAUCACAGGCAUGUGUGAGCCUGUUGAGGGUAAUGAAUCAGUAGAGGUUACUGGGAUUAUCCACAGAAGGAAAAACUAUUUUAGGGAUGAAAAUGGCUGAAAAAAAGAGAAAAUAUAUUAAGGGAUGUGAUAAAGCAAACAGAGUUUUAGAUUUUGUGUGGAAAAUUUGACUGGACACAGUACUACAGUGAGAAGGACAGAGCAUCUUGAAUGCAAGGGACUCCUAAAUGAAGAAAUUAGUUCACCACAGAGCUUGACCCUUAAAAAUAAUGCAUUAAUAAAAAAUCUUGGUAACAGUCUCA
Molecule: long non-coding RNA, 1003 nt
Filed under: Cyanistes caeruleus (blue tit)
Lineage: Eukaryota; Metazoa; Chordata; Aves; Passeriformes; Paridae
Description: lncRNA (ENSCCEG00000023806.1)
Source: RNAcentral